RNAcentral lists this long non-coding RNA (211 nucleotides) under Manihot esculenta (cassava). Its description in RNAcentral is "long non-coding RNA (MESC_LNC007932)". The record is from RNAcentral. Lineage: Eukaryota; Viridiplantae; Streptophyta; Magnoliopsida; Malpighiales; Euphorbiaceae.
CAAGGAUGAAUUUGUCACCAAUAGUCCUCUACAUAGUCCAACUGUGCCAGAACGUAGAAUGGGUCCUGGUCUUUCUCUUACAUGGCAUAACAUAACAGUCCAACUGUGCCAGAACGUAGAAUGGGUCCCACUGGUCUUACUUUCCAUACCGUACAUAUCAUAUCGUCACAUCAUAGGUCGAGGACUAUGGAUCAUCCAACAUUCAUCCACA